RNAcentral lists this long non-coding RNA (1311 nucleotides) under Struthio camelus australis. RNAcentral's name for it is "lncRNA (ENSSCUG00000016807.1)". The record is from RNAcentral. Lineage: Eukaryota; Metazoa; Chordata; Aves; Struthioniformes; Struthionidae.
UGGGAGGUCCAUAGUUGUUGCUCUUAUUGUUGUUGUUGUUUUCUGUAUAAAUUUGACUUUUUGAAUGUUUAUGUUGGCAGCUGUAGAUAUUAACUCAUUAAGAAAUGCAAUUAAUUCCAUACCCACCAGCUCUGUUUGGAGCCACAGUAGCCCUGAAUUUUUAUGGCGUGUUUUUGCCCAAGUUUGCUCAGAGGAUUUGAUUUUCUUUCUAUUAAGAGUUCUGUGAGCUGUUUAAUCAGGCAUUAUAAGCCUGAUAUUCUUUUUUUUCCUCCUUUUUUUUCCUUUAUUCCUUCUUUCAGUCUAUAUUCUCUCCUGCUCUGACCUCUUCUCCUGAUUUCCCAUGAAGUGGCUUUGCAAUUAACUCAUUUAAUUUGGCAUCUUUGGUCACCAUCACAGCAUGGGGCCAAGCAGGCUUAGUGCUAAGUCCUUCGAGCAUAUGCUAAAUGUUGUUACCAGACUGUGACCCACUGAAAAGCUUUGUUGCAUACAGGCCCCUUGUUGGUCCUGCAAGGGGGAAUUAUACCUCUAAUACAGCAAAUUCUAAGACACUCUUGCUUUCGCCAUAUCUCUAUGUUUAGACAUUUUCUUUUGUAGCACAGAUCUUGCAAUUUUUUUUCAUUGCUGUCUAGAGGAAUUGGCAGUGCCUGAAAGAGUGCUUUUUAGCAGUUAAAGAAUGAAACGGCAGGAGUAUCCAGGCCAUACUUCCUUCCUGGCACUUCACCCAGAUUUCCCUUACCUAUUCAAUACCAUUUAAUAGAGAAUUAGAUUCCCACUAGAAUUUUGUAUAACCCGUUCAGUAACUUACUGCAUCCUGUUGAGUUUCAGGCUUCUUCCAUUUUGUAUCUGGUAAGACUUCUCUAAGGAUAUGGCAGCUCUUUUCCUCAAUAAAGGAACAAAUGCUGGUUGCCAUGGUUUCCAAGAGGCAGGAACUCCAAGGUCAUUCCCUGAAAAUUCUUCACAACUGGUGCCAGCAGCGAGGAGACUCCCUCACCUCACGGAGUUGCCCUCCCUCGCCUCUAAAUGCGAUCCUCCCAUCCUCACUGGUAUGCACCUUCCCAUUUAAGCCACAAUAACACUGAUAAGAAUACGAUGUGAAAAGUCUGCAGUGUGUCUGAAAAAAAACAAAGUCAAAACCACAUUUACAAGCCGGUGGCUUCCCGAAGGCAGGAGAAGGCUGACAAAUGGACAAGCAAAUGGAAAAGAGUGCCUAAGGCAGGAAAAUACAAUUGCAGUUAUGUUAGAGAAAAAAAAAAUAUAUCAAAAGCAAGUGGUUCACAGGUUUCUCCUUCAGGUCUAGGGGUGAAAUAAAAG